Molecule: long non-coding RNA, 697 nt
Filed under: Canis lupus familiaris (dog)
Lineage: Eukaryota; Metazoa; Chordata; Mammalia; Carnivora; Canidae
Description: lncRNA (ENSCAFG00000056606.1)
Source: RNAcentral
AGGUUCCACUGGCCGCUAAGUAGCUGGGUGGCAGAAAAAGUACUGACUGGGCUUGCUUUAGUAACAGUCUCGAUGUUUUCGUAGGAGAUGCUCCGCGUGAGAUUUGACAGGACCCAGUAGGAUUGUUAUGUGAACAUAUAAGAAAAGAAAUGGAAAAAAUGCAACAACAUAUAAGAAAAAGAAAAAUGUCAACUGAAGGGACAUUUCGCAUUAAGGUGUAUGUAUAUUUGGAUGCUGAAAGCCAGACAAUUGCUUUCUAAGAGAAGAGACUCAUCCAGCAUCUCACAUAGGAUCAAAGUGUAAUUUACCCAGUUGAGAAAUGCUUCAUUUACUCCUACCUCUUCCUCGAAGCCAGGAGAGCUGUCCAGGGUUAUGUGAAGAUACUCUCUCUGAAAAAACUCAUCUAAUCCCACAGCUCCAUUACCAAAUCUGUUCUGAUUUCUCUGGAACCUAUUCUGCAGCCUAAAUCUCUCUUAAGCUCCAGAGGCUUAUACCCAAUGGCCUCCUGAACAUCUCCACUUGGCUAUUCUGCAAGUACUUCCAACCCAACAUGUAUAAAACUAAACCUGAUAAGUAUGACUUUCUGAUCAAGUGAUUAAAUGCCUUUCUGAGGUAUGAUUAAGGCUAUUGACUCCUUAAUGUUGUAGGACAUUAUUGUUGUAGUUCAAAGCUAAUGCAUGCAGUUAUUAGACACGAA